UGCACUGUCACCUGGAUGUUCACAUCACCUGGGGACUGGCCACGGCUUUCUUGGUAGAGAAUGGAGUUGGAGAAUUGCAAUCUAUAGAGUCUCCUCCAGAAGAUCUGCCUCUAUGCUAAGAUCAAUCAUAAAAACUUAUCCAUUAUUAUUACAUGAAAUCAAUCAACGCUGAAAAUAGCUGUUGUUCUCCAAGUGUGUGAGUUUAGUAUUGUUUUCCCUGCAUUUGGGGAUAGUUUCUUGCUCUGUUUCAAGGUUCUUUUAUAUAGAUAAAAGUGGGUAUGAAAAAUCUGGUGCUGCAGUGCAGAUGUAAAACCAGGAGCCUGCUAUAUUUCUCGGUUCAGGAUGUACUUCUUUUCUCUUAUGGCUAAUGUUGAAAGAAGAUUCUCCAUUUCUUUCCAAUGUUCUCUCUGUUUCAGAAACCUGUCUUGAUCAACAAAUUGUUACACAAUCUCAAAAUGUGGGGCAUUUUUUAAUGGACUCAUUA
Molecule: unclassified non-coding RNA, 484 nt
Filed under: Hevea brasiliensis (rubber tree)
Lineage: Eukaryota; Viridiplantae; Streptophyta; Magnoliopsida; Malpighiales; Euphorbiaceae
Source: RNAcentral